This 210-nucleotide long non-coding RNA is filed under the name Nicotiana benthamiana. RNAcentral's name for it is "long non-coding RNA (NBEN_LNC040511)". Lineage: Eukaryota; Viridiplantae; Streptophyta; Magnoliopsida; Solanales; Solanaceae. The record is from RNAcentral.
ACCAGGUCUAACGAACCCGCCAUUAGCUACGUGAUCCUUCAAUAUCUACUCUCAUUUAUACUUGUCUCUGUAAUCCAUAUAUACUUAUAGAAAAUAUUUUAAAACAAUAUAGGGCAUUUUGGUUCUAACUAAAUCAUAUAAUUUCUUUUCGAUAACAGUGAGUUCAAGUAACAGUAAAACAAAUCUAGUGACGAUGAAAAUAUUUAAAAC